GGGACGAAAGUCUGAUGGAGCAAUACCAUGUGAACGAUGAAGUGCCUUUUUGGUUGUAAUAGUUCUUUUACGAGGGAUAAUUAUGAUAGUACUUCGUGAAUAAGUGACAGCAAACUAUGUGCCAGCAGCUGCGGUAAUACAUAGGUCGCAAGCAUUAUUCGGAUUUAUUGGGCGUAAAGCAAGCGCAGGCGGAUGUGUAAGUUCUGUGUUAAAUGCAGCUACUCAAUAGUUGUAUGCACCGAAUACUACAUGUCUAGAUUGUGGUAGGGAGUUUCGGAAUUAAGCAUGGAGCGGUGGAAUGUGUAGAUAUGCUUAAGAACACCAGAGGCGAAGGCGGAAACUUAGGCCAUAAAUGACGCUUAGGCUUGAAAGUGUGGGGAGCAAAUGGGAUUAGAUACCCCAGUAGUCCACACCGUAAACGAUGGGUAUUAGAUAUUAGGGCUUUAGCUUUAGUGUUGUAGCUUACGCGUUAAAUACCCCGCCUGGGUAGUACAUAUGCAAAUAUGAAACUCAAAGGAAUUGACGGGGACCUGAACAAGU
This 540-nucleotide ribosomal RNA is filed under the name Mycoplasma haemocanis. RNAcentral's name for it is "bacterial SSU rRNA". It matches the Rfam family "Bacterial small subunit ribosomal RNA", at positions 372 to 930 of the family's 1533-position model. The record is from RNAcentral. Lineage: Bacteria; Bacillati; Mycoplasmatota; Mollicutes; Mycoplasmatales; Mycoplasmataceae.